RNAcentral lists this unclassified non-coding RNA (1037 nucleotides) under Lytechinus variegatus (green sea urchin). RNAcentral describes it as "protein lin-52 homolog, transcript variant X1". Lineage: Eukaryota; Metazoa; Echinodermata; Echinoidea; Temnopleuroida; Toxopneustidae. The record is from RNAcentral.
UGCACUGCACUUUUCAUUCAUUCAAUGUCAACGAAAAUAUAAACAUUGUACCUGAAAUAAACUGUAGAGGGCUCUUGUGAAAAUGGCGUCACCAGCCGGCAGUGCGGAUCUGGAAGCAACUCUCCUGAGUUUUGAAAGGCUGGACCGUGCAUCCCCUGAGCUAUGGCCUGAGCAAAUUCCUGGAGUAUCCAAUUUUGCCGAUAUCAAGAGUCCUUUCAACAAUGCAAAUUCACCGCCAUGGGAAGCUGAUUUAGAGAAGAAUGACAUCGAUAUGCUCAAUGAAUUGGGUAGUUUAACCACAGCCAAUCUAAUGGAGAAAGUAAAAGGGCUGCAGAAUCUAGCUUACCAACUUGGCUUAGAGGAAGCUCGUGAGAUGACUAGGGGAAAGUUUUUGGAUGUUCUAUCAGGUAGCAACAAGAACAAGAAGAAAUGAGAAUUGUCUAUAAAAUUCAUCUUAUACAGCAGAGACUCUGAAAUGAUGAAAAAAGGAAUGAUAACUCAACUGAUAGUUAUCUGCCUAAAGAUUAAAUAAUAAGAAAACAACCAAAGCCUUGGACUUGUAUUGCACAAAAGUUUGCACUGAAUACCAAAUAUGAAAGAACUAUUGUGAUUGGUCCUGGUCCGUGUUUGAACAAGAUGCAGAUGCAACAAUGAUCUUGAUUGGCCAAUUUUGUUUAGCUAUUGGCAUCCUUGCGUUACGGAGUGCAGGGUGUGUUUCAUAAAGCAUCUUGUCAGACCUUUUAACUGACAAAUUGGUCUCAGCAAAUCAGAUGCAAGGAUAUCAGUUUUCAGGGAAAAUCAUUGACAAAUUGCAUCAUGAAAUAUGAUUUGGAUCAUACUUUGAUUUUCAGCUGCUGGAAGUCCUUAGAUACCCAUAUUUGUCAUGUAAAGCUCACAGGAUAUUUGUUGAGUCAGCUCUCCAGCAAUAAGGUUUUGCAUUCUGAGAAAAAUAGGCCAUUUCCUUACUGCAAUCACAUAAGUCUUGUGGAAUGUAAUAUUGAAUCCCACCCUUAGCCAAUGAUAAUAAUAAUGAUGAU